RNAcentral lists this ribosomal RNA (392 nucleotides) under uncultured Methanosaeta sp. RNAcentral describes it as "bacterial SSU rRNA". It matches the Rfam family "Archaeal small subunit ribosomal RNA", at positions 949 to 1338 of the family's 1478-position model. The record is from RNAcentral. Lineage: Archaea; Methanobacteriati; Methanobacteriota; Methanomicrobia; Methanotrichales; Methanotrichaceae.
GAAGGUCCAGGGCUGAAGACCUUACCCGAUUAGCUGAGAGGUGGUGCAUGGCCGUCGUCAGUUCGUACUGUGAAGCAUCCUGUUAAGUCAGGCAACGAGCGAGACCCACGUCCACAGUUGCCAGCAUACCCUCCGGGGUGAUGGGUACACUGUGGAGACCGCCGCUGCUAAAGCGGAGGAAGGAGUGGGCAACGGUAGGUCAGUAUGCCCCGAAUCUCCCGGGCUACACGCGGGCUACAAUGGUUGGUACAAUGGGCAUCUACCCCGAAAGGGGAAGGAAAUCUCUUAAAGCCAAUCGUAGUUCGGAUUGAGGGCUGCAACUCGCCCUCAUGAAGCUGGAAUCCGUAGUAAUCGCGUUUCAACAGAACGCGGUGAAUACGUCCCUGCUCCUU